This 107-nucleotide small nucleolar RNA is filed under the name Brassica napus (rape). RNAcentral's name for it is "Plant small nucleolar RNA R71". It matches the Rfam family "Plant small nucleolar RNA R71". From Rfam's summary of the family: R71 is a member of the C/D box family of snoRNAs containing the C (UGAUGA) and D (CUGA) box motifs. Multiple nearly identical copies of this snoRNA have been identified in Arabidopsis, and it is thought to function as a 2'-O-ribose methylation guide for 18S ribosomal RNA. RNAcentral also lists the same sequence under 1 other name. The record is from Rfam by way of RNAcentral. Lineage: Eukaryota; Viridiplantae; Streptophyta; Magnoliopsida; Brassicales; Brassicaceae.
AAUCCAUGAUGAGGGCAUUGAGCUUGGUAGCCUUUGAAUCUCUCCCAGGCUUCACUGAAUCCUUCCAAGCCUUUCUGUUGAAAGCUGGAGAUCCCAUUUCUCAGCUU